RNAcentral lists this ribosomal RNA (799 nucleotides) under uncultured bacterium. Its description in RNAcentral is "bacterial SSU rRNA". It matches the Rfam family "Bacterial small subunit ribosomal RNA", at positions 74 to 874 of the family's 1533-position model. The record is from RNAcentral.
UUGUAGCAAUACGGAGCCUAGAGUGUCGUACGGGUGCGUAACACGUAUGCAACCUACCUUUUACAGGAGUAUAGCUCCCCGAAAGGGGAAUUAACCCUCCAUAAUAUCAUUGGAUGGCAUCAUUUGAUGAUUAAAACUGAGGUGGUAAAAGAUGGGCAUGCGUCUGAUUAGUUAGUUGGCAGUGUAACGGACUACCAAGACGAUGAUCAGUAGGGGACCUGAGAGGGUGAUCCCCCACACUGGCACUGAGAUACGGGCCAGACUCCUACGGGAGGCAGCAGUAGGGAAUAUUGGACAAUGGGUGAGAGCCUGAUCCAGCCAUGCCGCGUGCAGGAAGAAGGCGUUAUGCGUUGUAAACUGCUUUUGCCAGGGGAUAAAACGGUUCUGCGGAACUAAUUGAAGGUACCUGGUGAAUAAGCCACGGCUAACUACGUGCCAGCAGCCGCGGUAAUACGUAGGUGGCAAGCGUUGUCCGGAUUUAUUGGGUUUAAAGGGUGCGUAGGCGGCCCUGUAAGUCAGUGCUGAAAUAUCCCGGCUUAACCGGGAGGGUGGCAUUGAUACUGCAGGGCUUGAGUACAGAUGAGGUAGGCGGAAUUGACGGUGUAGCGGUGAAAUGCAUAGAUAUCGUCAAGAACACCGAUAGCGAAGGCAGCUUACCAAGCUGUAACUGACGCUGAGGCACGAAAGUGUGGGGAUCAAACAGGAUUAGAUACCCUGGUAGUCCACACUGUAAACGUUGAUGACUCGAUGUUGGCGAUACACAGCCAGCGUCCAAGAGCAAUCGUUAAGUCAUCCACCU